RNAcentral lists this transfer RNA (66 nucleotides) under Biomphalaria tenagophila. RNAcentral describes it as "tRNA-Asp". The record is from RNAcentral. Lineage: Eukaryota; Metazoa; Mollusca; Gastropoda; Planorbidae.
UACUAUUUAGUUUAAUUAAAAAUAUUGGUUUGUCAAAUCAAAGUUAAUAUAUUUUAUUAUUAGUAA